CAUGGCGUCCUGGAACAAGUCGGGUGAUGGUGACGAUGUAGAGUUGAUUCUGAGGAAACUGUUCGUCGGAGGAAUAAAACCAGACACUUCAGAUGAUCAGUUCAGAAACUACUUCGCUAAGUUCGGGGAUAUUGAGGACUACGUUCACAUAAGAAACAAACAGACCGGUCAGUCUAAAGGGUUCGGUUUCGUGACGUACAGCGACCCUACCAGCGUCGACAAAUGUCUGGCUGCUAAACCACACACCAUUAACCAGAAAGAUGUGGACGUAAAGAGAGCGGUACCCAAGGACCAGCCACAAGAGAGAUGUCACAAAAUCUUUGUAGGAGGAUUACCCGAAACUAACGAGGCAGAACUCAAAGCUUUCUUUGAGAAGCACGGCAAAGUUACCCAGUGCCAGUUCAAGAGAGAUCAGAAUACUGGAAGAGGCAGAGGAUUCGGCUUCGUAUCUUUUGAGGACAGUGAUACUGUGGACAAACUGGUCAUUCUCAAGCACAUAGAAUUCAACGGCAAGACAAUCGAAUGUAAGAAAGCACUGGAUGUGAAAGAUAAGCAACAUAUGGGAGGACACCAGGGAGGACACAAUCAGAACCCCUCUGUGUACGGUGCACCUCCUGCAGCUGCUGGAUACGGCCCCCCUCCCGGCUACCCUGCCCCUCCCAUGCCUGCUUACGGAGCAUACCCACCCUACGGUGGAUACGGAGGAGCUCCAGCCCAACAAGCUCCUACAGCUCCAGGAUACUCGGCCCCUGCUGCAGCUCCCUCCUACCCUGCCUACCCUGGUUAUCCAGCACAGCCCGCCUACCCUCAGCCAGCUCCUGGAUACCCUCCUGCUCCGGCUGCUAACCCUUACUACCCACAGCAGCAACCGGCUGGACAGUACAACCAAGCUCCAAGCUCUUACGGGGCCCAGAAAAACACGUACGCGUCCAACACGUACGGGAGUUCCAGAAGUGCUAACUACAAACCCUACUAAGAGGCCAAAGUCUAUGACAUGGUGUCGACGAUGCUUGCUUAUACCCAAUGGGCCAACUCUCCAAACUCCGGUACUUGGCUCUGCAAUCACGAACACAAUUCAACCUUGAGAGACACAUCUGACCUCCUGAUCAGGGAGAAAAGUUUUGAAGUCUCUAGUACUCUUCUCUACAUUGGACAACAAGUCUUUGAAUUUGAAAUCAGAUCUUCCGUUUGCAAAAGCUUAGCGAACCAAUGAACCUAUUACUCUAAGAGUGAUACGAUAUUCAAUGAUGUGAAAACUAACUCUACUCUAACUUAACUUAACUACUCUAAUAAUCCUAAUUGGAUCGAAUAUAAAGAAACAAAGUGAAUGAAGGACGUUCAUGCCAGCAGAUCCCGCUUUCCAGACAUCUUCUGCAACUCCGAACUUAAAAGAAAUCUACACACUAAUGUUUUCAAUCGGUCCAAAGGGGCUCUCUAACAUCCGCAAUUACUACCGUCCUCUAAUGCUGAAACAUCUCUGAAGAUGAAGCUCCGAAAAUGCUUCUUCGACCGAAGAUGAACAAGUUCUAAAACAACUGAAGACGCUGCUUCAAACAUGGCUCCUCUCUAGAAAGUUUUUUGUAGUGACUGAAUGCCUGAGAGAAACCCAUCGGCUGACCUAACACCUGUAUAUCGUUAUAGGAAUCUAUCUGGAGAGAUUCAAAACAACAGACUGCCUUGACUACAUAAUCUACUGCAUUCUCUUACUAAGAGAGACGUUUACCUGACGACCCAGUCUCCCUUGCACCCAGAAAGUUAUCGAGAAAACUAACAAGGAACAAGCUGGAGAAUAAAACCUCUUCUCUACACUUCUGUUAAAUUAAGUUUCCUGGAAAUCAACCAACUCUGCCGAGAAAAUUAUCUCAAAACCUUUUGUUCCUGAUCAUUCUCUAAGGAGCCGCGUUUCCAGUCUUAGGGCAAGAAUUCUCAGAAGGUUUUAACUAAUCUUCUAAGAAAAAGAAAAGCAGUCACGGACAAAAUCCUCUCUUAUCUAAUAAGAUUGUACGAGUUUGUGGCAACUAAUAGACUAUGAGAACCUUUCCCAACUCUACUUAUUCCCAUGCAUUGUUACCGCCCAACUGAAUUCGUCAGAAAUCUGAGAUUUGGAACGACAACAAAGAUCGAUGCCAAGGCGUGACGCUAUGCUCCAUCUCUCUCAAUCAGAGUUUCUCCACUCAGCUGCGAAAGUUGGAAUAACAUCGAUUCAACAGUGGAUGAACAAAACAACUGAACAAACCAGAACGAACACAUUUAUAGACUAUCUUCUUGACUAGUCUUACAAGAAUGUCAGGAGAUCGUUGCUUAAAAGUCUAGAAGUAUCUGAGGAAGUCUUACUUCGCUUAACUGUGUAUUUGUGUUGCAAGAGGAAAUCAAGAGUUACAUCAUCUUCCGGUACUCUUUCUAGAGCUUGAGUGAAACUAUGCGUAGAAGAGGGAUCCUGAUCUCUACUCCUGGGAAUUGAAGAAUGUGACAUUCAAGUAAAAGACAUUCUUACUAGAAUCACGAUACAAGAUUGGACUUCAGCAACUGCUAAAAUGGAUAACUCCACAGAAAUAAACGACAGGACCAGCUAAAAGUAAUCAGAUACUCAAGAAUCGACGAUUGACAUUAUCUGGAACAUACUAUCUCCGAAUGCCGUUGAUCUGUCUUUCUCCUUAACUGCGUGUCUAUCUCUCAACUAAUCUGAACAUCUAGGUCUGUGUUUUUGCUCGACUGAAACCUUCUCCUCCUAUAUGGACCUGCAUUCAAAGGUCGAUACCACAACUGACUAGAUCAGAUCUCAUCUAAGGUGAAGGCCUAUAAAACGUUCUCAACUAUCAUUUUAUGGGAGGUUCCACAACUGAAGUUGACUCCAACAUAACAAUUGCUCCUGUGCAACAUGACAGUGCUCACACAGAGAGAGACCCAACAAGCGCCUUACCCGGAAGGAGUUUGUACACAUUCUUCUGCUACUCAAAUGGAUCGUUCCUACAUGAAAAGAAAACACCGGAACAUCUGAGGAGCUAGUUGAAGAAGCCCUGGAAUAUCAUAAAUUGCAGGUCCCGACCUGAAGAAACCACUCUCCAAGAUCAAGACUCAUCCGGAGCCAAAUAUAAGAAGUUUAAGGAAGACUCACCACCUCUGAACCAUAACUACAGUCUAACAGAACUCUUCUAGAUUAAAGUACUGGUGUUAGCAGAGAUUCAACAUUGAAACCGAAGCUUAUUCAACCAGGACCAGCUUCGCUCAUUAAAAAUCGACGAAGAGAUCUACUAGGACGAUCACGUGAAUCCCCUAACUUCAAUCUCAUAGUGGUCCAGUUGGGUGAAACAGGAAGAAUGAAGACAUCGAAACUCUUCUAGAUUUGACAAGUGUCAGGAAUGAGUUCACUGAAUAAUGGACAACAUCAACUGCAACAUUCUUACCAGAUAGCAGAGACUAGCAAAUGCUUAGAUACACAACUUCGCUCAAAAGAUAUCACAGGCAUUGUGGAAAUGUAACACUGCCGUUUCUGUGACAUAUUUUCUGAAAUAGAACUCACAAAUAUCUUGCAAUUGUCCCAAGACCUCAACAUUCUACUCCUUAUUUUCAAGGAACGUUGCAACCUUUUCACUCCACCCUCCUCUUUACUAAUCACUGCUUGCAUCAAGCUAAAUCGUAAGCUGAUGAGGAUCCGAACCUGAAAUUGUUAACCACAACUUGUACUUUUCUUAACUAAGGUGAUCAUAUUGGCUAUCAUACUGCGAACAUCUUCAACUACAGUCUUACAGGGGACUCUCAUUUGACAUUGGACCAUUCUAAAAGUCAACAAACUGAAAUUAACAACAAAGAGAACAAUCUCAGAGGACUAAACAGCCACCAGAUAACGUCAAGCAAAAGAAGAACGGCCAAAUGCUGCCACUACUAAAAUAAUCUCCAGAGUCGAACUGAACAGGCAAAUUUCACAAGACCUCCACCGGCUCUAAUACCUGGAGUAGCUUACGUCUAUCAUGUGCAGCCGAAGGAACAAGAAGAAACUUAUCCAAAUGGACAUUUUUAUAGAACAAUGUUGUUUCUAACAUAGUAACUAUUGAAUGUUUUAUUUUCCUCUGUUA
This is an RNA transcript of Bolinopsis microptera, 4073 nucleotides long. It is a transcript of the gene named heterogeneous nuclear ribonucleoprotein A1-like, with no coding region annotated. The record is from RefSeq and is a predicted model, not a curated record. The transcript has 51 exons. NCBI's taxonomy places the organism in Eukaryota, Metazoa, Ctenophora, Tentaculata, Lobata, Bolinopsidae.